Molecule: ribosomal RNA, 2901 nt
Filed under: Escherichia coli
Lineage: Bacteria; Pseudomonadati; Pseudomonadota; Gammaproteobacteria; Enterobacterales; Enterobacteriaceae
Description: bacterial LSU rRNA
Rfam family: Bacterial large subunit ribosomal RNA
Source: RNAcentral
UUAAGCGACUAAGCGUACACGGUGGAUGCCCUGGCAGUCAGAGGCGAUGAAGGACGUGCUAAUCUGCGAUAAGCGUCGGUAAGGUGAUAUGAACCGUUAUAACCGGCGAUUUCCGAAUGGGGAAACCCAGUGUGUUUCGACACACUAUCAUUAACUGAAUCCAUAGGUUAAUGAGGCGAACCGGGGGAACUGAAACAUCUAAGUACCCCGAGGAAAAGAAAUCAACCGAGAUUCCCCCAGUAGCGGCGAGCGAACGGGGAGCAGCCCAGAGCCUGAAUCAGUGUGUGUGUUAGUGGAAGCGUCUGGAAAGGCGCGCGAUACAGGGUGACAGCCCCGUACACAAAAAUGCACAUGCUGUGAGCUCGAUGAGUAGGGCGGGACACGUGGUAUCCUGUCUGAAUAUGGGGGGACCAUCCUCCAAGGCUAAAUACUCCUGACUGACCGAUAGUGAACCAGUACCGUGAGGGAAAGGCGAAAAGAACCCCGGCGAGGGGAGUGAAAAGAACCUGAAACCGUGUACGUACAAGCAGUGGGAGCACGCUUAGGCGUGUGACUGCGUACCUUUUGUAUAAUGGGUCAGCGACUUAUAUUCUGUAGCAAGGUUAACCGAAUAGGGGAGCCGAAGGGAAACCGAGUCUUAACUGGGCGUUAAGUUGCAGGGUAUAGACCCGAAACCCGGUGAUCUAGCCAUGGGCAGGUUGAAGGUUGGGUAACACUAACUGGAGGACCGAACCGACUAAUGUUGAAAAAUUAGCGGAUGACUUGUGGCUGGGGUGAAAGGCCAAUCAAACCGGGAGAUAGCUGGUUCUCCCCGAAAGCUAUUUAGGUAGCGCCUCGUGAAUUCAUCUCCGGGGGUAGAAGCACUGUUUCGGCAAGGGGGUCAUCCCGACUUACCAACCCGAUGCAAACUGCGAAUACCGGAGAAUGUUAUCACGGGAGACACACGGCGGGUGCUAACGUCCGUCGUGAAGAGGGAAACAACCCAGACCGCCAGCUAAGGUCCCAAAGUCAUGGUUAAGUGGGAAACGAUGUGGGAAGGCCCAGACAGCCAGGAUGUUGGCUUAGAAGCAGCCAUCAUUUAAAGAAAGCGUAAUAGCUCACUGGUCGAGUCGGCCUGCGCGGAAGAUGUAACGGGGCUAAACCAUGCACCGGAAGCUGCGGCAGCGACGCUGAUGCGUUGUUGGGUAGGGGAGCGUCUGUAAGCCUGCGAAGGUGUGCUGUGAGGCAUGCUGGAGGUAUCAGAAGUGCGAAUGCUGACAUAAGUAACGAUAAAGCGGGUGAAAAGCCCGCUCGCCGGAAGACCAAGGGUUCCUGUCCAACGUUAAUCGGGGCAGGGUGAGUCGACCCCUAAGGCGAGGCCGAAAGGCGUAGUCGAUGGGAAACAGGUUAAUAUUCCUGUACUUGGUGUUACUGCGAAGGGGGGGACGGAGAAGGCUAUGUUGGCCGGGCGACGGUUGUCCCGGUUUAAGCGUGUAGGCUGGUUUUCCAGGCAAAUCCGGAAAAUCAAGGCUGAGGCGUGAUGACGAGGCACUACGGUGCUGAAGCAACAAAUGCCCUGCUUCCAGGAAAAGCCUCUAAGCAUCAGGUAACAUCAAUCGUACCCCAAACCGACACAGGUGGUCAGGUAGAGAAUACCAAGGCGCUUGAGAGAACUCGGGUGAAGGAACUAGGCAAAAUGGUGCCGUAACUUCGGGAGAAGGCACGCUGAUAUGUAGGUGAAGUCCCUUGCGGAUGGAGCUGAAAUCAGUCGAAGAUACCAGCUGGCUGCAACUGUUUAUUAAAAACACAGCACUGUGCAAACACGAAAGUGGACGUAUACGGUGUGACGCCUGCCCGGUGCCGGAAGGUUAAUUGAUGGGGUCAGCGCAAGCGAAGCUCUUGAUCGAAGCCCCGGUAAACGGCGGCCGUAACUAUAACGGUCCUAAGGUAGCGAAAUUCCUUGUCGGGUAAGUUCCGACCUGCACGAAUGGCGUAAUGAUGGCCAGGCUGUCUCCACCCGAGACUCAGUGAAAUUGAACUCGCUGUGAAGAUGCAGUGUACCCGCGGCAAGACGGAAAGACCCCGUGAACCUUUACUAUAGCUUGACACUGAACAUUGAGCCUUGAUGUGUAGGAUAGGUGGGAGGCUUGGAAGUGUGGACGCCAGUCUGCAUGGAGCCGACCUUGAAAUACCACCCUUUAAUGUUUGAUGUUCUAACGUUGACCCGUAAUCCGGGUUGCGGACAGUGUCUGGUGGGUAGUUUGACUGGGGCGGUCUCCUCCUAAAGAGUAACGGAGGAGCACGAAGGUUGGCUAAUCCUGGUCGGACAUCAGGAGGUUAGUGCAAUGGCAUAAGCCAGCUUGACUGCGAGCGUGACGGCGCGAGCAGGUGCGAAAGCAGGUCAUAGUGAUCCGGUGGUUCUGAAUGGAAGGGCCAUCGCUCAACGGAUAAAAGGUACUCCGGGGAUAACAGGCUGAUACCGCCCAAGAGUUCAUAUCGACGGCGGUGUUUGGCACCUCGAUGUCGGCUCAUCACAUCCUGGGGCUGAAGUAGGUCCCAAGGGUAUGGCUGUUCGCCAUUUAAAGUGGUACGCGAGCUGGGUUUAGAACGUCGUGAGACAGUUCGGUCCCUAUCUGCCGUGGGCGCUGGAGAACUGAGGGGGGCUGCUCCUAGUACGAGAGGACCGGAGUGGACGCAUCACUGGUGUUCGGGUUGUCAUGCCAAUGGCACUGCCCGGUAGCUAAAUGCGGAAGAGAUAAGUGCUGAAAGCAUCUAAGCACGAAACUUGCCCCGAGAUGAGUUCUCCCUGACUCCUUGAGAGUCCUGAAGGAACGUUGAAGACGACGACGUUGAUAGGCCGGGUGUGUAAGCGCAGCGAUGCGUUGAGCUAACCGGUACUAAUGAACCGUGAGGCUUAACCUU